UACGUAGGGGGGCAAGCGUUGUCCGGAAUCAUUGGGCGUAAAGCGCGUGUAGGCGGCCAGAAAAGUCCGCUGUGAAAACUCGAGGCUCAACUUCGAGCUGUCGGUGGAAACUUUUCUGGCUAGAGUCCGGAAGAGGAGAAUGGAAUUCCUGGUGUAGCGGUGAAAUGCGCAGAUAUCAGGAAGAACACCCCGUGGCGAAGGCGGUUCUCUGGGACGGUACUGACGCUGAGACGCGAAAGCGUGGGGGAGCGAACAGG
This 257-nucleotide ribosomal RNA is filed under the name uncultured bacterium. RNAcentral's name for it is "partial 16S ribosomal RNA". It matches the Rfam family "Bacterial small subunit ribosomal RNA", at positions 524 to 776 of the family's 1533-position model. The record is from RNAcentral.